GAUGAACGCUGGCGGCGUGCCUAAUACAUGCAAGUCGAGCGGUAAGGCCCUUCGGGGUACACGAGCGGCGGACGGCUGAGUAACACGUAGGAACGUACCCCAAACUGAGGGAUAAGCACCAGAAAUGGUGUCUAAUACCGCAUGUGAUCUUCGGAUUAAAGCUCCGGCGGUUUGGGAACGGCCUGCGCAUGAUUAGCUUGUUGGUGAGGUAAUAGCUCACCAAGGCGACGAUCAUUAGCUGGUCUGAGAGGAUGACCAGCCAGACUGGAACUGAGAACGGUCCAGACUCCUACGGGAGGCAGCAGUAGGGAAUUUUCCACAAUGGGCGAAAGCCUGAUGGAGCAACGCCGCGUGCAGGAUGAAUGUCUUCGGAUUGUAAACUGCUUUUAUAUGUGACGAUAAUGACGGUAGCAUAUGAAUAAGGAAUCGGCUAACUCCGUGCCAGCAGCCGCGGUAAGCUCGUCUCUA
This 468-nucleotide ribosomal RNA is filed under the name uncultured bacterium. Its description in RNAcentral is "bacterial SSU rRNA". It matches the Rfam family "Bacterial small subunit ribosomal RNA", at positions 28 to 537 of the family's 1533-position model. The record is from RNAcentral.